Molecule: ribosomal RNA, 253 nt
Filed under: uncultured bacterium
Lineage: Bacteria
Description: partial 16S ribosomal RNA
Rfam family: Bacterial small subunit ribosomal RNA
Source: RNAcentral
UACAGAGGGGGCAAGCGUUGUUCGGAAUUACUGGGCGUAAAGGGCGCGUAGGCGGCCUUCUAAGUCGAACGUGAAAUCCCUGGGCUUAACCCAGGAACUGCGUCCGAUACUGGGGGGCUUGAAUUCGGGAGAGGGAUGCGGAAUUCCAGGUGUAGCGGUGAAAUGCGUAGAUAUCUGGAGGAACACCGGUGGCGAAGGCGGCAUCCUGGACCGAGAUUGACGCUGAGGCGCGAAAGCCAGGGGAGCAAACGGG